RNAcentral lists this long non-coding RNA (509 nucleotides) under Homo sapiens (human). RNAcentral describes it as "HSALNT0337828". Lineage: Eukaryota; Metazoa; Chordata; Mammalia; Primates; Hominidae. The record is from RNAcentral.
GGGGCAGUGGCUCACACCUGUAAUCCCAGCACUUUGGGAGGCUGAGGUGGGCGGAUCACCUGAGGCCAGGAGUUCUCGAGACCAGCCUGGCCAACAUGGUGAAACCCCAUCUCUACUAAAAAUACAAACAUCAGCCAGGUGUGGUGACACAUGCCACUAGUCCCAGCUACUCGGGAGGCUGAGGCAGGAGAAUCGCUUGAACCCGGGAGGCGGAGGUUGCAGUGAGCCGAAAUCACACCACUGCACUCCAGCCUGGGUGAAAGAGCAAGACUCUGUCUCAAAAAAAAAACAAAAAAACAACAAAAAAAACUCCGGUGCACUGCUUGGCAUGGAGAAGGCACCCCAGCAGAACAGCAGAAGAUGUAAGGAGCUGUCAGUAACUAGCAAUGUUCUAGUGACUGUGCAACCCAGUGAAAUGUAGGCGUUGUUAUGGUUUCCAUUUUAACAGUUUAGGUGAUUGGGCUCAGAGAGAUUUCUAACAUGCCCAAGGUGACAUGGCUAGUAGGUGG